GGCUACAACACAGUUGAAUGGGUUCGUUACAUCACCAAAGCUGGUUCUUAUGAGAUUAGGUGCUAAGAUGAAACAACUUACGUGAGUUUGAUGUUGUCGUUGAACAAUAGCCCUAUUUGAGGGAUGCAAUCACACCAGCACUUAUACAUCGGAUCUAGUCAUGACUUUAAAUGUGCUUGGACGAGUAUAGUACUAGGAUGGACGACCCCCCUAUAGAUUUCUCAUGUUUCGUCUUGUGUUGACACCACCUGGUUUCGAAUUGAGGAAGAGCUUGAUUGUCUUUUUUGUUUUCCUUUUUAAAAUCCUUUGUUGUUGUGCUGAGUUCUUUGUGAGGACUAAGAAAAGGCAUUCUGCUAAUGCUAGUUUGUUUCAUAUAUUUUACCAAAAAAAUUAUUGUAUCUUGUCUGGUUCCUGGAAAUGAAUUAGAUUUUUUUCACAAA
RNAcentral lists this unclassified non-coding RNA (440 nucleotides) under Hevea brasiliensis (rubber tree). The record is from RNAcentral. Lineage: Eukaryota; Viridiplantae; Streptophyta; Magnoliopsida; Malpighiales; Euphorbiaceae.